Molecule: ribosomal RNA, 482 nt
Filed under: uncultured bacterium
Lineage: Bacteria
Description: partial 16S ribosomal RNA
Rfam family: Bacterial small subunit ribosomal RNA
Source: RNAcentral
AUUGAACGCUGGCGGCAUGCCUUACACAUGCAAGUCGAACGGUAACAGGUCUUCGGAUGCUGACGAGUGGCGAACGGGGGAGUAAUACAUCGGAACGUGCCCGAUCGUGGGGGAUAACGGAGCGAAAGCUUUGCUAAUACCGCAUACGAUCUACGGAUGAAAGCAGGGGACCGCAAGGCCUUGCGCGGACGGAGCGGCCGAUGGCGGAUUAGGUAGUUGGGGGGAUAAAAGCUUACCAAGCCGACGAUCUGUAGCUGGUCUGAGAGGGGGACCAGCCACACUGGGACUGAGACACGGCCCAGACUCCUACGGGAGGCAGCAGUGGGGAAUUUUGGACAAUGGGCGAAAGCCUGAUCCAGCCAUGCCGCGUGCAGGAUGAAGGCCUUCGGGUUGUAAACUGCUUUUGUACGGAACGAAAAGACUCUUUCUAAUAAAGAGGGUCCAUGACGGUACCGUAAGAAUAAGCACCGGCUAACUACGUG